UAGGUUGAGCCUACGUCGGAUUAGCUAGUUGGUGGGGUAAAGGCCUACCAAAGCGACGAUCCGUAGCUGGUCUGAGAGGAUGACCAGCCACACUGGGACUGAGACACGGCCCAGACUCCUACGGGAGGCAGCAGUGGGGAAUCUUGGACAAUGGGGGAAACCCUGAUCCAGCGAUACCGCGUGUGUGAAGAAGGCCUUCGGGUUGUAAAGCACUUUAGG
RNAcentral lists this ribosomal RNA (219 nucleotides) under Candidatus Rickettsiella viridis. Its description in RNAcentral is "partial 16S ribosomal RNA". It matches the Rfam family "Bacterial small subunit ribosomal RNA", at positions 221 to 439 of the family's 1533-position model. The record is from RNAcentral. Lineage: Bacteria; Pseudomonadati; Pseudomonadota; Gammaproteobacteria; Legionellales; Coxiellaceae.